GUGUCUGUACCACAUGUACAGGAUAGGUAGGAGUCUAUGAGAUCGGGACGCCAGUUUCGAAGGAGACGUUGUUGGGAUACUACCCUUGUGUUAUGGCCACUCUAACCCAGAUAGGUGAUCCCUAUCGGAGACAGUGUCUGACGGGCAGUUUGACUGGGGCGGUCGCCUCCUAAAAGGUAACGGAGGCGCCCAAAGGUUCCCUCAGAAUGGUUGGAAAUCAUUCGCAGAGUGUAAAGGUAUAAGGG
Molecule: ribosomal RNA, 245 nt
Filed under: Campylobacter jejuni
Lineage: Bacteria; Pseudomonadati; Campylobacterota; Epsilonproteobacteria; Campylobacterales; Campylobacteraceae
Description: partial 23S ribosomal RNA
Rfam family: Bacterial large subunit ribosomal RNA
Source: RNAcentral